Molecule: long non-coding RNA, 716 nt
Organism: Beta vulgaris subsp. vulgaris (sugar beet)
Lineage: Eukaryota; Viridiplantae; Streptophyta; Magnoliopsida; Caryophyllales; Amaranthaceae
Exons: 3
Source: RefSeq, a predicted model, not a curated record
AACUGAACUUGCUUCUUCCUUGAAAAAUGAAAUCAGACUCAUUUGUUUCCAAUACAAAUCAUUUAUGUCCUUGAACUUAAUGAAGGUGGGGAAAAUCAAUCUACUACCACUGCUUUAAUUCAAACGGACCAAACACUUCUCUUUCUCACUUUCUCUCUCUUAAUUUAAAGCUAUUAUGUAACUCUACUUUGUUUUUCUUCCAUUUCUAGCAAACUGGGUUUUUUUGCUACACUGUCAAUCAUUUCUCAUGAGAAUUUGCUAACUUUUAUUCCCAGUAUUGAGAUCUGUUGCUAAAUUCACACGGGUGAAUGGUGAAAUGACGAAGAUAAUGUUGAAGCUCAGGGAGUACUGCGUAAUGAUGGUGGGCACUUUAUCUGCCUUUUUUCCUCUCCCAUUCCUCCCUUGGAAGUUCGAAUGGUGUGGCUGACUCAUUGGCUAAACAAGGAUUAAGGAGGAAUGAUGAAUUUGUGGCUUGGUGUUAAAGCCUACUUCAGCGCAAACAUGAAAUAGUAACUGGACAAAAAAUGUAAUUUCAUUUCUCUUGUGGUUGAGGAACUCUGAUUUGUCUACUAACUAUGUAAUAGAUCCUGUUCUUGAUCUUAUUCAGCCUUCGAGCUUUAAUAAAAUUGCUCCAAUUAUCAAAAAAAAAAAAAAUCUACAUUCAAUUUUUGUAGAAAUUUAUCAUCUGAAUAACCAAUCUAAACUUUUAGUUUUUC